AGUGAACGCUGGCGGUAUGCCUAACACAUGCAAGUCGAACGGCAGCACAGUAAGAGCUUGCUCUUACGGGUGGCGAGUGGCGGACGGGUGAGGAAUACAUCGGAAUCUACUUUUUCGUGGGGGAUAACGUAGGGAAACUUACGCUAAUACCGCAUACGACCUACGGGUGAAAGCAGGGGAUCUUCGGACCUUGCGCGAUUGAAUGAGCCGAUGUCGGAUUAGCUAGUUGGCGGGGUAAAGGCCCACCAAGGCGACGAUCCGUAUCUGGUCUGAGAGGAUGAUCAGCCACACUGGAACUGAGACACGUCCCAGACUCCUACGGGAGGCAGCAGUGGGGAAUAUUGGACAAUGGGCGAGAGCCUGAUACAGCCAUACCGCGUGAGUGAAGAAGGCCUUCUGGUUGUAAAGCCCUUUUGUUGGGAAAGAAAAGCAGCAGGUUAAUACCCCGCUGUUCUGACGGUACCCAGAGAAUAAGCACCGGCUAACUUCGUG
RNAcentral lists this ribosomal RNA (492 nucleotides) under uncultured bacterium. Its description in RNAcentral is "partial 16S ribosomal RNA". It matches the Rfam family "Bacterial small subunit ribosomal RNA", at positions 29 to 507 of the family's 1533-position model. The record is from RNAcentral.